Molecule: long non-coding RNA, 2250 nt
Organism: Mizuhopecten yessoensis (Yesso scallop)
Lineage: Eukaryota; Metazoa; Mollusca; Bivalvia; Pectinida; Pectinidae
Exons: 4
Source: RefSeq, a predicted model, not a curated record
GAGUAUAUGUGGAAUUGCAAGAUAGUAUAUUGCAUACCACUUUGAGGUCUAUACUUUCAAGGUCAAAAUCUUAUUAGUUAAAAGGUCAAGUUCAUUGUCCGGACCAUAGCUUCUGAUUUGCUGAAGAUAUCUAAAUGGCAUUUUUUGGGAUAUAUGUAGGUUUGAAUGGAAGUAUGUUUCACAGUAAUUUUGGGUCUAUACACCCAAGGCCAAAGUCACGUUGAGGUUAAAAAUUAACUGAACUUUCCUGGUCAUAAUUUCUGAACCGGAGAAGUUAGCUCAAUGAAAUUGUAUAGGUAAUUUUAGAACGGCAAAAAGUUCAUUACGUCCAAGGUCAGAGUCUAAUUAAGUUCUGAGGUCAAAUUGUUUGUCCAAGUCUUAACUUGAAUAUCUGUAAUGGUAAGUAUGUUAGUGGAUUUAGAAUAAAGUAUGGUUUGCUGCAUAUUCUGAAUUCUCAUUCAGAGAUAUUUUCAAAGAAGCACUUUCUUCAAUUGACUGUUAACUACUAUGUUUUAAACUAUUUUAUUUCUAUGUUGAUCUCGAAUAUUAACUUCAAAACAAUCACAAAAAAUUCAAUAAAUUAGUUUGAUCGUUGGUAAAAAGAUUAUGAACUUUGAACAAAUAUUUAAUAAAUGAGUUAAGUGCACAGACAUAUAACUAAGUUGCAAAAUAUAAGUGUAUGUCUCUGUAAUAGCUACACUGCGCGCGGAAUUGGAGGAUUCUGAACGACAAAAAGGUAUGUAAGAACCCGAUAUGGCGAUAGAUAAAUUAACAUUGAUCCCAACAAAAUAACUACCACCGAUAAAAAGAACACUUAUUCGGGCUGCAUCUUUUCCAAAAAGUUAAAAAAAAACUAAAACCUCCACAGCAAACCUGACCCAGAAAAUACCACAGUCCCGAAAUGCAACCAUUUAGUUGGUUUUUUUCCCAAGUGAAUCUACAAUCAUCCUCGACUCCCAAACAGGGCACUUGUCAUUCAAUUCAUUAUUUCGAUCGUUGCCAGUGGCAAAAGAUUAUCAUUGUUCAUCCGACCGUUCGUGAUUCCGUUCGUCCAUUCGGGGCCAUAACUACUGACUUGCUGAAGAUAAUUCAAUGAAAUUUAAGAAGAUAUGCUGGACGACGGGACAGUCUGUCUCGUACAAGCUCAAAUUAUUUACCAAAGGAUACUGUUGAUAAUUCGAUGAAAGUGUAAGAGUAUAUGUGGAAUUGCAAGAUAGUAUAUUGCAUACCACUUUGAGGUCUAUACUUUCAAGGUCAAAAUCUUAUUAGUUAAAAGGUCAAGUUCAUUGUCCGGACCAUAGCUUCCGAUUUGCUGAAGAUAUCUAAAUGACAUUUUUUGGGAUAUAUGUAGGUUUGAAUGGAAGUGUGUUUCACAGUAAUUUUGGGUCUAUACACCCAAGGCCAAAGUCACGUUGAGGUUAAAAAUUAACUGUACUUUUCUGGUCAUAACUUCUGAACCGGAGAAGUAAGCUCAAUGAAAUUGUAUAGAUAAUUUUAGAACGGCAAAAAGUUCCUUACGUCCAAGGUCAGAGUCUAAUUAAGUUCUGAGGUCAAAUUGUUUGUCCAAGUCUUAACUUGAAUAUCUGUAAUGGUAAGUAGGUUAGUGGAUUUAGAAUAAAGUAUGGUUUGCUGCAUAUUCUGAAUUCUCAUUCAGAGAUAUUUUCAAAGAAGCACUUUCUUCAAUUGACUGUUAACUACUAUGUUUUACACUAUUUUAUUUCUAUGUUGAUCUCGAAUAAUCACUUCAAAACAAUCACUAAACAUUUAUUAAAUCAUUUUGAUCGUUUCUAGUAUAAAAAGAUCAUGAAAUAGAACAAAUAUUUAAUGAAUGAGUUAAGUGCACAGACAUAUAACUAAGUUGCAAAAUAUAAAUGUAUGACUCUUUUAUAGCUAAACUGCGCGCGAAAUUGGAGGAAUCUGAACGACAAAAAGCUACUCUCCGCGCUGAAUUGGAGGAAUCUGAACAACAAAAAGCUGUACUCCGUACGGAAUUGGGGGAAGCUAAACAACAAACAGGAGGGCAGCCUUUUUUCCCAAAGGUUAACAAACUAAAACCUCGAAAGAAAACCUGACACAGUAAAUACCUUGGUCUCGACAUGCAACUUUUUUUAAGAUGGUGACUCGGUUACCCAAAAAAUAUUAAACAUACACAUGGCCUAUCAUUCUGCCAGAUUGACCAAUCUACGCAAAUUCGUCAGAAAGCACGGUCAUUAGGCAAUCGCUUACUUCCUUUCUUGAUGCGACUAAACA